Molecule: ribosomal RNA, 745 nt
Filed under: uncultured bacterium
Lineage: Bacteria
Description: bacterial SSU rRNA
Rfam family: Bacterial small subunit ribosomal RNA
Source: RNAcentral
GCUGGCGGCGUGCCUAAUACAUGCAAGUCGAGCGAACGGACGAGAAGCUUGCUUCUCUGAUGUUAGCGGCGGACGGGUGAGUAACACGUGGAUAACCUACCUAUAAGACUGGGAUAACUUCGGGAAACCGGAGCUAAUACCGGAUAAUAUUUUGAACCGCAUGGUUCAAAAGUGAAAGACGGUCUUGCUGUCACUUAUAGAUGGAUCCGCGCUGCAUUAGCUAGUUGGUAAGGUAACGGCUUACCAAGGCAACGAUGCAUAGCCGACCUGAGAGGGUGAUCGGCCACACUGGAACUGAGACACGGUCCAGACUCCUACGGGAGGCAGCAGUAGGGAAUCUUCCGCAAUGGGCGAAAGCCUGACGGAGCAACGCCGCGUGAGUGAUGAAGGUCUUCGGAUCGUAAAACUCUGUUAUUAGGGAAGAACAUAUGUGUAAGUAACUGUGCACAUCUUGACGGUACCUAAUCAGAAAGCCACGGCUAACUACGUGCCAGCAGCCGCGGUAAUACGUAGGUGGCAAGCGUUAUCCGGAAUUAUUGGGCGUAAAGCGCGCGUAGGCGGUAUUUUAAGUCUGAUGUGAAAGCCCACGGCUCAACCGUGGAGGGUCAUUGGAAACUGGAAAACUUGAGUGCAGAAGAGGAAAGUGGAAUUCCAUGUGUAGCGGUGAAAUGCGCAGAGAUAUGGAGGAACACCAGUGGCGAAGGCGACUUUCUGGUCUGUAACUGACGCUGAUGUGCGAAAGCGU